Molecule: ribosomal RNA, 118 nt
Filed under: Phascolarctos cinereus (koala)
Lineage: Eukaryota; Metazoa; Chordata; Mammalia; Diprotodontia; Phascolarctidae
Source: RNAcentral
AUCUAUGGUAAUAAUACCCUGAAUGUGCCCAAUCUUGUCUGGUCUCAGAAACUAAGCAGGGUCUUGCCUGGUUAGAAUUUGGAUAGGAGAAGCAUGGGAAUAACAGCUGCUGUGGGUU